This is a long non-coding RNA of Solanum tuberosum (potato), 763 nucleotides long. RefSeq lists it as uncharacterized. Lineage: Eukaryota; Viridiplantae; Streptophyta; Magnoliopsida; Solanales; Solanaceae. The record is from RefSeq and is a predicted model, not a curated record. The transcript has 4 exons.
CUUUCUAAAGCUCUUGAAAUUGUAGAGAAAAUACUAUCAAACGUUCUUAAUUUCUUUGAUUCUUUCUUUAUUUUGUCUAUUUAUUUACAGGAAAUUAAUAAAUUUUGCGCUUUGCCAUUGUUGAAAUUUCCAAACACGCAGAAAGAGCAAAUACAGUUCAGAAGUGAGAGUUGGAAAGGACCAACAUGGCUGCAAAAGUUGUACCCUUGGCUGCAAGAGUUGUGAAGGACCAACAUGGCUACAAAAGUUGUACCGUUGGCUGCAAAAGUUGUACCGUGCAAUUUCAACAAAUAGACAAGGAAUUAAUAAAUUUUGCGCUUUGCCAUUGUUGAAAUUUCCAAACACGCAGAAAGAGCAAAUACAGUUCAGAAGGGAAAACUGUCGAACACUUUUCAACUAUUGCCAAAUAGGGGUAUUUUUGUCAUUCUGCUUUCCCGUCUGAAAGUGAUAAGCCAGGCAGGGAAAUUAUUAUCACUUCAACUUUUCAAAGGCUGCAUUGUGUACGUGUCUUUCUCUCUAUGCAUUCAUCAAACACCUACUCUUCUUCAAUUGACCUAUAAUUUUUAAGGCUUUAAGGGUCAUCCCCAUUUCCCCCCCUGUGCUAUACUUUUUGUUUCUGCUUUUGCUUGUGUCUUGCUUCCUUUUUUUUUUCUUUUUUUUUUAUUAUAUAUACUAGAUACAAGAUCCGUUUUAGCACGGACUUAAUAUAUGUUACUUUUUCUGUCGAUUUUUAUUGUCAUGUUAUAUUUUUCAAAAAUCAAUU